GUAGUCUCGCACAGAUGCAUAUCAAUAAGCGGAGGAAAAGAAACUAACAAGGAUUCCCUCAGUAACGGCGAGUGAAGCGGGAAGAGCUCAAAUUUGAAAUCUUGAAAGGUCACCUUUCACGAAUUGAUAGUUUAAAGAAGUGUUUUCUGUUACGAUCGUAAUAUAAGUUCUUUGGAAUAGGACAUCACAGAGGGUGAGAAUCCCGUCUAUGAUUGCGAUUUGUAGCUUUGCGAUACACUUUCAAAGAGUCGGGUUGUUUGGGAAUGCAGCCCAAAACGGGAGGUAAAUUUCUUCUAAGGCUAAAUAUUGGCGAGAGACCGAUAGCGAACAAGUACCGUGAGGGAAAGAUGAAAAGAACUUUGAAAAGAGAGUUAAAUAGUACGUGAAAUUGUCAAAAGGGAAGCGUUUAACACCAGUGUUGUUUUCUGAAAGUCAACCUCUGUUAGCUUUAUGCAUGUUUGUUUAGACCUAAUCAGCUAUCUUGCAUGUUCUAUUGUUUGCAGUGGUGCACUUUUCAGUUUACAGGUCAACAUCAGUCUUUUUUUACCGUAAAAAAGUUAAAGAAAGGUAGCUCAUGGCUCCGGUCGUGAGUGUUAUAGUCUUUUUCCUAUGCGGUAGGAGAGACUGAGGUCUGCAGUGUAGGCUAUUUGGCUAGAUACUCAGGUGCUAUGUGAUACCAUUUCAUAAACAACUUGUUGAUUAUGUUUUGUCUAUUGCAUACUCGCUUGUACUAUCAUACCUACGCUUAGGAUGUUGAGUUCGUAGAGCACGCAG
Molecule: ribosomal RNA, 774 nt
Filed under: uncultured Neocallimastigales
Lineage: Eukaryota; Fungi; Neocallimastigomycota; Neocallimastigomycetes; Neocallimastigales
Description: partial large subunit ribosomal RNA
Rfam family: Eukaryotic large subunit ribosomal RNA
Source: RNAcentral